UCUAAUCAUCCAAGAAGCCUACUCUCCUGGAUCACCGUUGGCUUUUUCCUCCUGGAAUACCGAAUAGAUUAAAAAUGUAUUAUUUGGGCACCUGGGUUGUUACGGAAAUCAUUAUCAUUCAUUUGACAAGUGGCAAACCUGUUGACAACCAGGAGAGCUUAGGGGCAAUGAAAAACUCUCACAGAUAUUCUGGAGAUCUUGGAAUUCCAGAGGAAGAGGCCCAUUUCCACUUCAAGGCUUUCUUAGAGAACCUGAAAGCUGAUUUCCUGAGAAACCUGAACUUAUCAGAAAUACCUUCACAAGAGAAGACGAAAGAGGAACCGCCCCAAGUCAUGAUUGAUCUGUAUAACAGAUAUACCAAGGACAAAUCUUCCAGCCCCAUAUCCAACAUUGUGCGCAGCUUCAGUCCUGAAGACAUUGUUUCUCUCUCUUCAUCGGACACGGCUCCAUUUCAGAAAUACAUCUUGCUUUUCAAUAUCUCUGUCCCGUGGCACGAAGAAGUAACUAGAGCUGAGCUAAGAAUCCACACUACAUGUCAGAAGGAAGCAGAAUGUGUGUCUCAGUUUGAAGGGAACAUGGCUCUUUAUCAUGUUCUUGAAGAAAAUGAGUGGGAAAAACCCAACGGCCUCAAAUCAUUCCUAGUUUCUAAAAAAAUUCAAGAAUGUGGCUGGGUGAUCUUUGACAUGUCCAGCACUGUGAAAAGAUGGAUCAAAGCACCAAAACCGAGGGCUAAUAGUCAGCUGGAGAUUGCUGUGGAAAGUAGUGUUCAAAGUGAUCUUGCCUGUGGGAAGCUGCACAUGAGUGUUGCAUCUGACUCCAACCAUUUGCCCUUGCUGAUAGUAUUCUCCAACGACCACGGCAACAGGGUCAAGGAAGACCAUAUGGAGCUUCAAGAAAUGAUGGUGCAUGAGCAGGAGAGUGUGCUGAGGAAUUUAAUAAAAAACGACACUGCCCACAAAGAGAAUUCUUUAUCCAUCCAUGGCAUCCAUCAUCCUCCAUCGAGGAACAAACGGAGUGCUGAACGGAACCACUGCCGAAGAACCUCUAUGCAUGUGAACUUCAAAGAAAUUGGCUGGAAUUGGAUCAUUAUACCUCAAGAUUAUGAGGCCUUUGAGUGCAAAGGUGGCUGUUUCUUUCCUUUGACUGAUAACGUAACCCCAACCAAGCAUGCAAUUGUCCAGACCUUGGUGCACUACAAGAACCCAAAGAAAGCCGCCAAAGCCUGUUGUGUCCCCACUAAGCUGGAUCCGAUUUCUGUGCUUUACAAAGAUGAUGCUGGAAUCCCCACUCUGAAAUACCAAUAUGAGGGAAUGAAAGUAGCAGAAUGCGGCUAUUGCUUUAAAAAUGCUCAGCCUCCAAGAACCUGCAAACCUAUAGCCACAUCCCUGUUUCAUAGCUAUGCCAGCACAAUGGGAGCAAUAUAACCAAGCAAUGGCUGAUCGUCACUAAUCAAAGUGUUUCUGCUUCAGUUUCAGUUCAAUUUCACAUGACUGUUGCUGCCUUGGCUACAGAAAUUGACAAUUGACAGAGUUUGGUGGAAUCUACUUUGUUUGGCUGCAUGAAGGAAAAGUUGACAGACCUCUCAUUCCUGCUCAUAACAUGCAACUCCUAAGUGACAAGCAGCUCUGAGAAGUGGCAUAUUCAAGUAAAAGAGGUCUCUGUCCAACCCGACUUCCAUUUCUUUAUGCAUGGAUUGUGUUCUUCCUUUAAAGUUAUAUCAAGCUUCUAUUUUAUGUGCCAACUGCUAGAGUGUUUUGAAACAUAGCUUUAUAAAUAAGGC
This is an RNA transcript of Pogona vitticeps (central bearded dragon), 1780 nucleotides long. It is a transcript of the gene named growth differentiation factor 2, with no coding region annotated. The record is from RefSeq and is a predicted model, not a curated record. NCBI's taxonomy places the organism in Eukaryota, Metazoa, Chordata, Lepidosauria, Squamata, Agamidae.